AGCAGCCGCGGUAAUUCCAGCUCCAAUAGCGUAUAUUAAAGUUGUUGCAGUUAAAAAGCUCGUAGUUGAAUUUCGGGAUUAGUAAGUUGGUCGUGCCUCUGGUAUGUACUGGCUUUACUGGUUCCUCCUUCUCGAAGAACUGUAAUGUCAUUAAUUUGGUGUUGCAGGGAAACAGGACUGUUACUUUGAAAAAAUUAGAGUGUUUAAAGCAGGCUAACGCUUGAAUACAUUAGCAUGGAAUAAUGAAAUAGGACGUUUGAUCCUAUUUUGUUGGUUUCUAGGAUUGACGUAAUGAUUAAUAGGGAUAGUUGGGGGCAUUAGUAUUCAAUUGUCAGAGGUGAAAUUCUUGGAUUUAUUGAAGACUAACUACUGCGAAAGCAUUUGCCAAGGAUGUUUUCAUUAAUCAAGAACGAAAGUUAGGGGAUCGAAGACGAUCAGAUACCGUCGUAGUCUUAACCAUAAACUAUGCCGACUAGGGAUCGGAUGAUGUUAAUUUUUUAAUGACUCAUUCGGCGCCUUA
Molecule: ribosomal RNA, 520 nt
Filed under: uncultured Glomeromycotina
Lineage: Eukaryota; Fungi; Glomeromycota
Description: SSU rRNA
Rfam family: Eukaryotic small subunit ribosomal RNA
Source: RNAcentral